CAGAAUCAAAACAUGAAUGCUUGAGAAGAGAAGUCGUUGAAGGCUAUGCCUCUCGGCUUCUCUAAAGAGAAUAAGAGUAUGUGAUGCACCAGUCUAGUGUAAACCACACGUAGAGUGUUUAAGGAAGUUUCUACGAAAACCACAGUCAGCAGGCCAAUUUUAAUCAAACUUGGUACAAAUGAUCCUUGAGUGAAGGACUGAAAAUAUAGAGUCUCACCAGAAAGCAGUAUCUCCGUUGAGAGAAUUAGGAACUGACGAGACAGAGUUGGCAGCUGUAAUCGGACUCCAUUUAUUUUCUCAGCUGAUACCAGGCAAAAAUCAUGAGAUUAACGAUAGAACUAAGAAUCUACCCAAUGAGUGCCCAUGUCAAUUGCGAGAUUGUAAACAGAAAAUCCAGACUGGAUGUACAACAUUCAGUAAGAUGAUGUGUGACUUUUAGCUGACCUGAAGCUAUCCUGAUUAGAAGAGGUCCCCAGUACCCCUUGUUUGCAUAAGAGGUAAUUAAAUGGGGUGGUCCUUUGGAUAAGAACGCAAAAACCAAGGCCCCGUAUCACAGCAGGUGUGACACAAUUAAGAUAUCUUCCUGCUCAAAGGCCAUAAGUGCCGAGUAUGGGCCUAAAUUUUGCAGCCCUUCACCAGCAUUGGUGACAUCUCCAUUUGAAUGAAAGAUUUUCAAAAGGGUCGUUAAAUGAUAUUCAACCAACCAACUUUCCUGAACAAA
Molecule: long non-coding RNA, 721 nt
Organism: Ostrea edulis (European flat oyster)
Lineage: Eukaryota; Metazoa; Mollusca; Bivalvia; Ostreida; Ostreidae
Exons: 3
Source: RefSeq, a predicted model, not a curated record